Caretta caretta (loggerhead turtle) is the source of this 4763-nucleotide non-coding RNA. NCBI's taxonomy places the organism in Eukaryota, Metazoa, Chordata, Testudines, Cheloniidae. The record is from RefSeq and is a predicted model, not a curated record.
CUGGUAAUGUAAGAACACGUCUCUGAUCUUUGGCUCAUUACAGCAAAAAAUGUCUGAGUAAUGAUAAAAGAUAAACACAGCCAUUCUUAUCUUGGCACCUCGUGGCAGUCCACCAGAGAGGUGCCUUGGGCCUAAUACUUGGGGUGCCUGUUCUCAUCAAUCGCUCUAUCAGAGAGCAGUUAGGUAUUGGCCUUGAAGUCUUCCUGCCCAGGAUUCAAUCUUGUAAUGAGUGAUCUUGUUGGGGACUUCUCUGCUGCUGCAUUUUCAUCCGCUUAUCCAUAUGUAGCCAGCUACCUUAUACCUGCUUGCAGGCUGCUUUCCCUGGAGGUACAGUCCACACACCCCACAAUCUUCAUUGUGUGGUCUACCUCUGUUUUUGGUGAAUAUAGCUGCUGAUUUGCUUUGUGCCAAACACCUGCUCAGAUCAGACUCCUACCCCAGCCUAAUCCAUUGUUUCUGAACAUCUUGGCUGCACAAGCUUUAUUAGAUGUUACAGCCCCUCUAGGAGAAGCAGCUGCUGUGUGUGUGUUUCAGGCCCCUUUCUAGUUUGCUCUGGCUUUAGUGUCCUUUGUCCCCAGUCAGCUACUUCUCCACAGGUUCAGUGCAGACCUGUAAUGAACUGCAUCAGCUUCUGCUACUAAUGGCCCACUCCCCUUCUGGGUUUUCCUGGCCAUGCCUCUCACCGCUCAGGCUGCCUCCAACUGUUGCAGAAUUCCCAGGGAGAGAAUUCCCGUCUAGGGACAGACCCUUUUAAAGGGUUUCUGGCUCCCUUUCUUCAAGGGAGAUAUGGGACAUGAUCUGGGACAUGAUCUGCUUUUCCACUUUCUUUGCUGAACAUUCUCCUUCCAAGAGAGGAGAGAGAAUAAUGACUCUGUUGUUCAGCAGAUUCACCAGGGUACUUAGUCACCCCACCCUCUGCAUUCUCCUGCCCUUUUGUACCAAGUCCAUCCUGUAUGCUCAAGGCUCUGCAUCCUGCAUGUUCUGGGUUCUCUCCCUAUACAAUUUAAAUCAUUUCAAGAACUUUCUUACAAAAGACUAAGGGAAACCUAACUCCUGCUUUGAGAUUUUAAUAACAUAGCCUGGGGCAUGAAACUUACCUCAGAACGCUUGGCUUUUGACUAGAUCCUUUUUUGUAUAAGUUUUUAUAGUGCACAUGUUCUCAAAAAUGCUUCUUUCAGGGUUCUGAGGAAUAGCUACUGCUAUAAUAGAUACAACUGCUGUACAGGCAGCUACAGCAAUGUUAAUCUCAGAGCCUGGAAAUCAUCUAAAGAAACAGGUAAGAACAGCAGAAGUGCUGAUAGAAGCGGCUGUUAGAUUUUCCUGUUCUGGCACCAGUGGACAAAACCAACCAUCUCCUGGUUUUUACAUUGUUGUUGCCAGAAUAGAAAGGACGGAGAAGGAAACCUUGCUCUAGCCUGCAAGCUUGUUAUAGUCCAGAAGUGAUGAUAUUUUCUCAGGAAUGCUGUAGCUCAUCUAUUCCUUUGUUCUAGUUAAAGGGGUAGAGGAACAAGUCCAAGUCCACUUCUUCAUAUCAGAAUGUUUUAUUUGUUUGAAUCAAAUUAGUCACUGGUAAAUCUCUGCUGACUUUAGUAAAGGCUGGUAAUGUCCAUACAUGUGUACCUGGGAUCUCCAGAAUGGAUAGCAAGGGGCUAAAGAGCAGAGAGCUCCUGUUUAAUCAGGAAUUAUGAAAAGUUGUUUUUAAAUUAGAAGUUUUUUUAAUAAGCAAGGCAAAACCUGAAAUACAAACAACAUUGUGGGGACCCUGCAAUAGAAAGGUGCGAAUGAGAGUGCCUCCAGGGCUCAGGCUCUAGCUCUGUUCUGGGGCCCCCUCAUAUGGAUAAGGCCAGGCAAUGUGUGCUCAGCCCAGUGUAGGAGGUGCUCUUAGUCCUGAGCUGAAACUGGGAUUUCUAAACACCUUCCACCUCUCCAUCUACCAGUGGCCCUUGACUAAUCCCUCCUUUCCUCCUCACUCCACUUCCCCCCCCCCCCCGACCAAAGCUGUGCAAGCACCCUCACCAUGUGUGAGCAUCCUACACUUCCCUUAUGUGUUUGCAACCCUCUUUCAGCACCCAUACCUUUCCCAGUAGUGGUGGGAAAUUGAGAGCAAGUGUUUUGUGUGCCUUUCCCAAGGGAAGGCUGGAGGAGGCUCACUGUGGAAAGAAGUCAUACAAGGUCACUUCUGGCACUGCCUGGAAUAGAGAUCAAGUCCGCAAAAUGGCAAACUGUAGCUCUCAUUUACUCAGUCACACUGUCUUUUUACAUUGAAUGUAUCAAAGGUAUGUGCUUGGCUACCCUCUCUGUAACAAUGUCAGUAACUCCUGCUGUAGGCGACAUUCCCCUCCCAAUGCCAGGAACCGAACCCAGGAAUCCUGAUUCCCAUUAUUCUGUUUCUAGCAAAUAUUUGUGUAACCCACAGGCAAUGUAUGUCAGGUCCCUUUUAGUGACCAUGGGCCAUAUAGGGUCAGAUACUCCUUUUGCUUAGUGAUAGAGGCCUCUCGUAGGUCUAAUUUGCAAGUCCAAUAUGUAAAUCUUGAUGAUGACUCAUAGAGAUUCUUCUGUUUGCAAGAGAUGGAACUUCUGUUAUUUCCCCCCUCCCCAGUUUCUUUUGUAAUAAUAUUUGUGGAGUUGGUGUUCCACCAUAAGAGAAGAUACAUGAAAAAGGAAGUAGACUUGUUUCAGCAGGGUAAGUAAUGAUGUUAGCAAGGAAGAUUUGGGUUCAAUUCCCAGCUCUAUCACAGACUUCCUGUGUGACCUUGGACAAGUGACUGAGCCUCUGUUCCCUAUCUGUAAAUGGGGAUAAUCUUUUUAUACAAAGGUGAGGUGAGAAUACGUACAUUGAACAUUGUGAGGUGCUCAGAUACUGCUAAGAUAGGUAGGUGUAAAUCUAGGUGUGUUUCCAGAUUUGUGUCUUUCUUCAAGUGCACUUCUUUGAGGGAGUCUGCAGAAGUGCCCCUGAGUGAGAAGUACAUUGAGAUUGUAAGAUCUUUGGUGCAGAAUUAGAUGUUUGCUGUUUUAUCUUUCAAAAGGAUCUCUCAAAACUGGGUGACUGGGCAACAAAAUGGCAGAUGAAAUUCAAUGUUGAUAAAUGCAAAGUAAUGCACAUUGGAAAACAUAACCCCAACUAUAUAUAUAUAGAAUGAUGGGGUCUAAAGUAGCUGUUACCACUCAAGAAAGAGAUUUUGGAGUCAUUGUGGACAGUUCUCUGAAAACACCCACUCAAUUUGCAGCAGCAGUCAAAAAAGCGAACAAUAUUGGGAAUCAUUAAGGGAUAGAUAAUAAGACAGCAAUUAUCAUAUUGCCUUGAUAUAAAUCCAUGGUAUGCCCACAUCUUGAAUACUGAGUGCCUGUUGCAUCGUCCCAUCUCAAAAAAAUAUAUUGGAAUUGGAAAAGGUUCAGAAAAGAACAACAGAAAUGAUCAGGGGCAUGGAACAGUUUCCGUAUGAGGAGAGAUUAAUAAGACUGGGACUUUCCAGCUUGGAAAAGAGACGACUAAGGGAGGAUAUGAUAGAAGUCUAUAAAAUCAUGACUGGUGUGGAGAAAGUAAAUAAGGAAGUGUUAUUUAUUGGCCACUGUCAAAGACAGGAUAUUGGGCUACAUAGACCUUUGAUCUAACUCAGUAUGGCCGUUCUUAUGUUUAUACAGCACUCUAAUAAUUAAUUAAUGAUGAUAAUACUGUGUGAACUUCUUUGAGUGUUGGUGUUUACAUGAGUGGAGGCAUGUCUGUGUGCCAAUCUGCAUAUGCUUUUUAUUGUUGCAUGCCUGGGGGUCUGCAAUGAGGGGCAGGGAGUGGAAAUAUUUCAGAUCAAUCCACCCCAGACAAAUAUUCAUUCCCUUUCACUGUCCCCUGUGCAGUAAUAACAAUGUGACUUUUAGAAAGAGCAUAAAGCCAGGGCAGGGCAAGAUGAGAAGACACCCCUCUGUGUAAAUCCCUUAUGGGAUCCCCCUAGGUUGUAGUAUUGAUCAUGGGGAUGUAUGGAGGCUUCUGGAUGGCCCAAGAUAUUUGAUGGUGAAGAUGCAUGAUCCCCUAGAACAGUGGUUCUCAAACUUUUGUACAGGUGACCCCUUUCACAUAGCAAGCAUCUGAGUGCGACCCCCCCCCCUUAUAAAUUAAAAAACCCUUUGUUGUAUAUUUAACACCAUUAUAAAUGCUGGAGGCAAAGCGGGGUUUGGGGUGGAGGCUGGCAGCUCACUACCCCCCAUGUAAUAACCUCGCAACUCCCUGAGGGGUCCCGACCCCCCAGUUUGAGAACUCCUGCCCUAGAAUAUCUGGGGACAAUGACCCAUUUCUUUGAGUCUCCUGACCUCCAUUUUGUGCUCUUCGUUUCAGCUCUUGCCUAUUUGCUAUUUGAUGAAGAACCCUCAAUUGGUAGAGAUAUCUUUGCCAUCUUUGAGCAGAUGAACUGGUCUGCACCACACAGACAGUCCUCCACACUGAGAAGCCACUUCUACUACUGCUUCUCAUGAUUGGCACAGGAAGCCAGAAGGAAUUGGACAGUCUGUCUCCUGAAAAGGCUCUCCUCCUGCUUCUGUUGACCAGGGAACAACCACCAUGGAAUACCCGCACAUGGGGGAGUCAGCCCUGCCCCCUAUUAUAAUGCUGCCUCAUCACAGAAUGUAAAGCAAGAACAUCAGUGUACAACAGAAGGGGAUGGACUGUCAACUUGCCAGAAGGCUGGUGGCUGAAAUUUAAUUUGUAGAUAGGUUUGUAUAAACUUUUGCACCUUUCUGAUUUUUAAUAAAACGUGCCCUAUUUAUUUCCUUAA